Long non-coding RNA from Bombus pyrosoma, 1187 nucleotides. RefSeq lists it as uncharacterized. The transcript has 3 exons. NCBI's taxonomy places the organism in Eukaryota, Metazoa, Arthropoda, Insecta, Hymenoptera, Apidae. The record is from RefSeq and is a predicted model, not a curated record.
CUGUAAGAAAGUCGAAUAUCCCGAUAGAAGUUGUAAACAAGCAUAAGAAGAGUUCUACAAUGUUGAAGCUAAAUUAUUAUCGAGAAUUAUGAGAAAAAAGAAUGUUAACACAAUGUAAUAAGGAAGAGAUAUUUUUAUUUAUCCUAUUUAUUCAAAAUGAUAGAAGUACGCAUGACAAAUAAAAAAUGUAUCUGAUGACAAGAAGCGGCGUUAGAAAUUAUGUCAUUGUAUAUGAAUAUUAAUGAAAUAGUGAUAACACAUUGAAUUGUAUUUGUGCCUUCUUUUCUCUCUUUUUAUUUACAUUGUUUAAAUAAUAGAUCAAGGAAACAUUUGUUCACGGAAUGGAAAUACAUAGGCUUACUAUUGAUGAUUAUCAUAGGUUACCACUGACCCAUGUGGCAGAGAACAUGUUAAAGACAUUCGUGUUUAUGAGUAGAGUUAAAGCGUAGCCUGUUCGCUUCUACGUUGUUUGGUAUUAAAUCUCCUCGAUAAACGUUCGAUUAGGAAAUGGCAAAUUAGCGAAAGAGCAAGUGGUUAUUCUCGGUCGAAAUGGCAUUUGUGCACCUGCUAUCCCUGCCAUUCAAAUAUUACAAUGAAACGUAUCUUUGAACUGGACUUUACUGAAGGAACUUCGUCAGCAAUGUCAAGGACCUUUUGCUUCUCUGUGUAGUAAAACGAUAGUUCCUGUUCACACAGAGUAUAUGAGUCGAGUCACGUCAAGUUCAUCUAUGUUUAGAUUACAAUAACACUUACCUUGUAAAUUGAACUCUACUAAAUACAGGUAAUCGAGAAAUUCGUCUACACUUACGUCUAUUAACUAAGAAUUUUAUAAAUAGUCGAAUAGUCGGAUUCAAAAAUUAUCUUGUAUUUUAUUGACACAGAAACAUAAAGAGUCAAUUACAAAAAGAUUCUUCAUCGUUCAAUCAUGGUGCCAGUUGACCACGUUGAGCAUACAUCUUUCAUUUCCCAAUAUAAAAAUAAAGUGACGAAUAAAAUCCCGUCAUCAUUUACUAUACUAUCACUUUGGAUCAAGUUUACAAGCUAUCGGUACUAACUGACUGUUUCCUUUUUUUAAUAGUUUAAAUAAGUAGUCUCUUGGUUGUGACUUCUGUAAUCGAUAAGAUAAUGAUUCAUGAUAUUUUGUAUCGAUGUAAUUUCAAGCGGUUUUCUCUCUUUAAAAUGCAGAA